GGAGGGGUGGCAGAGUGGUUGAAUGCACCGGUCUUGAAAACCGGCGUGGGUUCGCGCCCACCCAGGGUUCAAAUCCCUGCUCCUCCGCCA
This 90-nucleotide transfer RNA is filed under the name Shewanella yunxiaonensis. RNAcentral's name for it is "Shewanella sp. FJAT-54481 tRNA-Ser". It matches the Rfam family "tRNA". From Rfam's summary of the family: Transfer RNA (tRNA) molecules are approximately 80 nucleotides in length. Lineage: Bacteria; Pseudomonadati; Pseudomonadota; Gammaproteobacteria; Alteromonadales; Shewanellaceae. RNAcentral also lists the same sequence under 1 other name. The record is from RNAcentral.